This 254-nucleotide long non-coding RNA is filed under the name Homo sapiens (human). RNAcentral describes it as "LNC_000297". Lineage: Eukaryota; Metazoa; Chordata; Mammalia; Primates; Hominidae. The record is from RNAcentral.
CUGAGGGUGGCACUUGGGUUAGGGAACAAUUUACUCAUGACGAAGACAGAGAUCAGAGGUAUGGGGUGUUCUGCAGAAGCCGAGGCCCUUGGCCACAGAGCUAAACACAUAUGCUUGAAGUGGAAGUCAGAGAAACUGAAGAGAGGUCCACGAGAAAGUAGAGCAGUCUUGGACCUCAGCCGCAAGGUGUGCAAGCUACAAAAUGACUGCUGCCUCCCUUCUGCCCUCCACAUCUCCCACAGUAAGUCCUUUGG